CUACGGGUCGCAGCAGUGGGGAAUAUUGCACAAUGGAGGGAACUCUGAUGCAGCGAUGCCGCGUGAGGGAAGAAGGUUUUCGGAUUGUAAACCUCUGUCUUCAGGGACGAUAAUGACGGUACCUGAGGAGGAAGCUCCGGCUAACUACGUGCCAGCAGCCGCAGUAAUACGUAGGGAGCGAGCGUUGUCCGGAAUUACUGGGUGUAAAGGGAGCGUAGGCGGGACUGCAAGUCAGAUGUGAAAACUAUGGGCUUAACCCAUAGACUGCAUUUGAAACUGUGGUUCUUGAGUGAAGUAGAGGUUGGCGGAAUUCCUAGUGUAGCGGUGAAAUGCGUAGAUAUUAGGAGGAACAUCAGUGGCGAAGGCGGCCAACUGGGCUUUUACUGACGCUAAGGCUCGAAAGCGUGGGGAGCAAACAGGAUUAGAUACCCCGGUAGUC
Molecule: ribosomal RNA, 439 nt
Filed under: uncultured bacterium
Lineage: Bacteria
Description: partial 16S ribosomal RNA
Rfam family: Bacterial small subunit ribosomal RNA
Source: RNAcentral